GUUUAGCCGCCCGCGUAUGAGCCACCACCUUCUAAGAAAUAACCACUCCAAUUCUUCGCCAUUCUCAUCUGCGUCUGCUUCUCCUCUCUACUAUAAAUAUCUUCAUCUCUCAUCUCUAAACCAGUAACUCAAAACCUUCCAAGUAUUUCUCAUUCUAAACCCCAACCCAACAUCUCAUAUUCUUUUGAAUUUCACAGCCUUUCUUCAAAGAUGAGUUCAACAAAUUCCACAGCAGCAUACCCUGCCCAAGCUCCCAACUCUGCCCAGCAAUAUCAGGUGCAAGCUCCACCUCCUGCAGGCUACCCAACAAGAGAUGUGCCCCAGAACUCUGUUCCUGUAGAAACCAAGUCAAAGGGUGAUGGCUUCUGGAAAGGCUGCUGUGCUGCCUUGUGUUGCUGUUGUGUGUUGGAUGCUUGCUUUUGAUUGAAACAAGUCCACCCAAUAAUCUCAGUAUCUCUGAUCAUCGUCUUUUAUAUUUAUAGAAUUCAUAGUUGAUUUUUAGUUUUUUAUGUGAUAUUGAAGAAGAGACCAUGUAGAUUGGAUACAGUUCCGGAUUGUCCAACUCUCAUCAUCUUUGUAUAAUAAUUGUUAUUCAUUUCAGAUAUCCGGCUUUUUUUUUUCUUUUUUUUUUUGUGUGUUCUUCUUCUUUGUAGUGGUGGUGGAUUAGUUUCUUUGUAUAUGGUCAGAUUUAAUCCCUUAAUAAUACAGAAUCGUGCUCUUUUUCUGUUUUA
Molecule: long non-coding RNA, 731 nt
Organism: Prunus dulcis (almond)
Lineage: Eukaryota; Viridiplantae; Streptophyta; Magnoliopsida; Rosales; Rosaceae
Exons: 2
Source: RefSeq, a predicted model, not a curated record